This 136-nucleotide ribosomal RNA is filed under the name Cladophialophora sp. Its description in RNAcentral is "partial large subunit ribosomal RNA". It matches the Rfam family "Eukaryotic large subunit ribosomal RNA", at positions 99 to 233 of the family's 3401-position model. The record is from RNAcentral. Lineage: Eukaryota; Fungi; Ascomycota; Eurotiomycetes; Chaetothyriales; Herpotrichiellaceae.
CGGUAAUAGCUCAAAUUUGAAAUCUGGCCUCUCGGGGUCCGAGUUGUAAUUUGUAGAGGAUGUUUUGGGUACCGCCCCGGUCUAAAUUUCUUGGAACAGAAUGUCAAAGAGGGUGAGAAUCCCGUCUUUGACACGG